CCCUACAGCGCGAGUAAAACGCGUGAAUACACCUUCACAAUCAAAUUCACGCGAAACGACACAUAAAAUAUCGCACUUUUUGCUAAAUUACCGUUUUGCCAACACCAACCUCUCCUCGAUCAACGUGCAAUCUCCGCAGAUCCGUCCGUCAAAUUUACAAACGGAUCACACCAGUGCGAUCAGCACGACGGAGACAACAAAGCUACAAAUUUGGUUCCCUCUAUCGACCACGGAUUCGCGACGAAAUCUGUUCUCUCCGAAAGGCCAAAUGACGCACAAAUACAUAUAAACAUGUAUUUUCAGAUUUUCUCAAAAUCCGUGCGUCAAACUCAAAAUCCGUCAACGCCAAUAGUUCCAAAAUAGCUGAACC
RNAcentral lists this long non-coding RNA (370 nucleotides) under Ananas comosus (pineapple). RNAcentral's name for it is "long non-coding RNA (ACOM_LNC036132)". The record is from RNAcentral. Lineage: Eukaryota; Viridiplantae; Streptophyta; Magnoliopsida; Poales; Bromeliaceae.